This 153-nucleotide transfer RNA is filed under the name Planctomycetaceae bacterium. Its description in RNAcentral is "tRNA-Ile". The record is from RNAcentral. Lineage: Bacteria; Pseudomonadati; Planctomycetota; Planctomycetia; Planctomycetales; Planctomycetaceae.
GGGGUUGUUGAAUUGCAGACUAUUGCAAUCGAGUUCAGAAAACGCUAAGCUUGUUUCGUGCUUGAUUUUCCGAGGUUUUUUGACGGUACAAGUGUGAAGACCCCAGUAUCCCUGAUAAGGCUGAGGUCCCAAGUUCGAGUCUUGGUGCGCCCA